Molecule: ribosomal RNA, 518 nt
Filed under: uncultured bacterium
Lineage: Bacteria
Description: partial 16S ribosomal RNA
Rfam family: Bacterial small subunit ribosomal RNA
Source: RNAcentral
GGCGAACGCUGGCGGCGUGCAUAACACAUGCAAGUGGAGCGACCGGUGAAACCUUUGGGUUUCAGCUUAAACCGGGAGCCGCGAACGGGUGAGUAACACGUGGGCAAUCUGCCCCGUCGAUUGGGAUAGCCCGGGGAAACCCGGAUUAAUACCGAAUGUGAUCGCCUCCCUGGGGGGCGGUGAGGAAAGGAAGCUUCGGCCUCCGCGACGGGAUGAGCCCGCGACCGAUUAGCUUGUUGGUAAGGUAACGGCUUACCAAGGCGACGAUCGGUAGCUGGUCUGAGAGGACGAUCAGCCACACUGGGACUGAGACACGGCCCAGACUCCUACGGGAGGCUGCAGUGGGGAAUCUUGCGCAAUGAGCGAAAGCUUGACGCAGCAACGCCGCGUGAGGGAAGACGGCCUUCGGGUUGUAAACCUCUUUCAGGGAAGAGUAAGGCUCGUGAGUUAAGAGCUCACCGGGUUGAAGGUAUUCCCAGAAGAAGCACCGGCUAACUACGUGCCAGCCGCCGCUGUAA